ACUCCUACGGGAGGCAGCAGUGGGGAAUAUUGCACAAUGGGCGCAAGCCUGAUGCAGCCAUGCCGCGUGUGUGAAGAAGGCCUUCGGGUUGUAAAGCACUUUCAGUCGUGAGGAAGGUAGUGUAGUUAAUAGCUGCAUUAUUUGUACGUUAGCGACAGAAGAAGCACCGGCUAACUCCGUGCCAGCAGCCGCGGUAAUACGGAGGGUGCGAGCGUUAAUCGGAAUUACUGGGCGUAAAGCGCAUGCAGGUGGUUGUUAAGUCAGAUGUGAAAGCCCGGGGCUCAACCUCGGAAUAGCAUUUGAAACUGGCAGACUAGAGUACUGUAGAGGGGGUAGGAAUUUCAGGUGUAGCGGUGAAAUGCGUAGAGAUCUGAAGGAAUACCGGUGGCGAAGGCGGCCCCUGGACAGAUACUGACACUCAGAUGCGAAAGCGUGGGAGCAAACAGGAUUAGAUACCCCUGGUAGGAUAGCG
RNAcentral lists this ribosomal RNA (472 nucleotides) under uncultured bacterium. Its description in RNAcentral is "bacterial SSU rRNA". It matches the Rfam family "Bacterial small subunit ribosomal RNA", at positions 335 to 799 of the family's 1533-position model. The record is from RNAcentral.